UACGGAGGGUGAGAGCGUUAAUCGGAAUUACUGGGCGUAAAGGGCGCGUAGGCGGUUAGGUGAGUCGGAUGUGAAAGCCCCGGGCUUAACCUGGGAACUGCAUUCGAUACUGCCUGGCUAGAGUAUGGUAGAGGGAAGUGGAAUUCCGGGUGUAGCGGUGAAAUGCGUAGAUAUCCGGAGGAACACCAGUGGCGAAGGAGGCUUCCUGGACCAAUAAUGACGAUGAGGCGCGAAAGCGUGGGGAUCAAACAGG
RNAcentral lists this ribosomal RNA (253 nucleotides) under uncultured bacterium. Its description in RNAcentral is "partial 16S ribosomal RNA". It matches the Rfam family "Bacterial small subunit ribosomal RNA", at positions 524 to 776 of the family's 1533-position model. The record is from RNAcentral.